AUUGAACGCUGGCAGCAGGCUUAACACAUGCAAGUCGAGCGGGGGAAGGUAGCUUGCUACCGGACCUAGCGGCGGACGGGUGAGUAAUGCUUAGGAAUCUGCCUAUUAGUGGGGGACAACAUCUCGAAAGGGAUGCUAAUACCGCAUACGUCCUACGGGAGAAAGCAGGGGAUCUUCGGACCUUGCGCUAAUAGAUGAGCCUAAGUCGGAUUAGCUAGUUGGUGGGGUAAAGGCCUACCAAGGCGACGAUCUGUAGCGGGUCUGAGAGGAUGAGCCGCCACACUGGGACGGAGACACGGCCCAGACUCCUACGGGAGGCAGCAGUGGGGAAUAUUGGACAAUGGGGGGAACCCUGAUCCAGCCAUGCCGCGUGUGUGAAGAAGGCCUUAUGGUUGUAAAGCACUUUAAGCGAGGAGGAGGCUACUCUAGUUAAUACCUAGGGAUAGUGGACGUUACUCGCAGAAUAAGCACCGGCUAACUCUGUGCCAGCAGCCGCAGUAA
This 501-nucleotide ribosomal RNA is filed under the name uncultured bacterium. RNAcentral's name for it is "partial 16S ribosomal RNA". It matches the Rfam family "Bacterial small subunit ribosomal RNA", at positions 30 to 523 of the family's 1533-position model. The record is from RNAcentral.